CCUACGGGUGGCAGCAGUGAGGAAUAUUGGUCAAUGGGCGCGAGCCUGAACCAGCCAAGUAGCGUGAAGGAUGACUGCCCUACGGGUUGUAAACUUCUUUUAUAAAGGAAUAAAGUGAGGCACGUGUGCCUUUUUGUAUGUACUUUAUGAAUAAGGAUCGGCUAACUCCGUGCCAGCAGCCGCGGUAAUACGGAGGAUCCGAGCGUUAUCCGGAUUUAUUGGGUUUAAAGGGUGCGUAGGCGGCCUGUUGAGUCAGUGGUGAAAUGGUGUGGCUCAACCAUAAAAUUGCCGUUGAAACUGGGAGGCUUGAGUAUGUAUGAGGCAGGUGGAAGGCGUGGUGUAGCGGUGAAAUGCGUAGAUAUCACGCAGAACCCCGAUGGCGAAGGCAGCCUUCCAGGCCAUGACUGACGCUGAUGCACGAAAGCGUGGGGAUCAAACAGGAUUAGAUACCCGAGUAGUC
Molecule: ribosomal RNA, 460 nt
Filed under: uncultured bacterium
Lineage: Bacteria
Description: partial 16S ribosomal RNA
Rfam family: Bacterial small subunit ribosomal RNA
Source: RNAcentral